Molecule: ribosomal RNA, 427 nt
Filed under: uncultured bacterium
Lineage: Bacteria
Description: partial 16S ribosomal RNA
Rfam family: Bacterial small subunit ribosomal RNA
Source: RNAcentral
UGGGGAAUAUUGGACAAUGGGCGAAAGCCUGAUCCAGCCAUGCCGCGUGUGUGAAGAAGGUCUUCGGAUUGUAAAGCACUUUAAGUUGGGAGGAAGGGCAUUAACCUAAUACGUUAGUGUUUUGACGUUACCGACAGAAUAAGCACCGGCUAACUCUGUGCCAGCAGCCGCGGUAAUACAGAGGGUGCAAGCGUUAAUCGGAAUUACUGGGCGUAAAGCGCGCGUAGGUGGUUUGUUAAGUUGGAUGUGAAAUCCCCGGGCUCAACCUGGGAACUGCAUUCAAAACUGACUGACUAGAGUAUGGUAGAGGGUGGUGGAAUUUCCUGUGUAGCGGUGAAAUGCGUAGAUAUAGGAAGGAACACCAGUGGCGAAGGCGACCACCUGGACUAAUGCUGACACUGAGGUGCGAAAGCGUGGGGAGCAAACA